GUGAGAAGUGCCUUUCGCCUCCCGCCAUGAUUCUGAGGCCUCCCUAGCCAUGGGGACCUGUCGUCGCUGCCCUCAGCCUCCAGAUGCAGCCCCCCUGCCACCUUCAGGACCCCUGGCUCUCCCCUGGACUCAGUAGCGAAAGGGUUUAUGUGCUCGGAGGGAGACCUUCAGGAAUCUGUGCAUAGAAUGCCAUAGUGCAGAGGAAACAGCCCCAGAAAAUGGAACAGCUGCUAAGUGAGACUCCUCAGCCAGGCCAGAGAAUGUGCAUUCUGACGGACUGCUUCUCAUUUGCACUGAUCACUGUCUUCUUUCUGAAACCAGCCCAACUUUUCUCCCAGAGAGUAUCAUGGAACUGAACUUUCAAGAUCAUGGCAUCUGGACAUCGAGAAAACAGAACCCUCAUCUGGCCACCUGCUGCUUUUUGACCAAUUCCCAUAUAAACCGCUAACUUCAGUCAGUUGGAGGGAUGGAUUUGAGAUUUGCCUUCUGUCUCUCAGGUGAUGUCACCAGCAAUAAAGCCUUCUUCCCUGG
Molecule: long non-coding RNA, 531 nt
Filed under: Homo sapiens (human)
Lineage: Eukaryota; Metazoa; Chordata; Mammalia; Primates; Hominidae
Description: non-protein coding TMEM132D-AS1:28
Source: RNAcentral